This 792-nucleotide long non-coding RNA is filed under the name Salvia miltiorrhiza (redroot sage). RNAcentral describes it as "long non-coding RNA (SMIL_LNC011500)". Lineage: Eukaryota; Viridiplantae; Streptophyta; Magnoliopsida; Lamiales; Lamiaceae. The record is from RNAcentral.
CUCAUUUUAUUGCUGGAAGCCUGGAAACAACAAACAGAUUGGUCGAUUUUUGGAUUAAAAUUUGGGGUAAUCCCUAUCAACUUUAAGAUAUAAGGGUUAAUUUCAUAUGUGGCCAUCGCGAUUUCCGAAAUUGGAGAGAUGAGAGGUUGUGCUACGGGAAAACAGAGACAGCGAGACUACGAAUCACAAAGUACCUUAUCUAUGACUUGCAAAAAAGACCAAAUUUUGUAAUGUUCGCUCUAUGUGACUGAAUAGGGUGUAUGUUUUCCUUACUUUCGAUUCAGAAUCGAAGAGAAUAGGGAGAGAUGAGAAAGAAUCUAACCGAUAGAUCUCUUCUUCCUCGGCAAUGUGGCAUCUUGAUCAUCCCCAUAUGUGUCUUCCAUAUUGUCGCUCUUAGAUCUGGUCUCAUGCUCUGUAUCUGUGCUUCUUCUUCCAUUAAACAUUUACUGUGCUUCAAUUCGAAACAGUUGCAUCCUAGUUAAUACAUAUAUGGAUGGAGAAUAGUAGGAGAAAUUAAAUUGAUUUUGAGAAAUAAUCGUAUUGUGAUCGAACCGUCUGAGAGAGAUAUCAAAUUGCUAUGGGGAGAGAACCGUGGGUGAGAGAAAACUGUUGUUGACUUGUUGUGAUAGAACGUGUGAGAGAGAAUUUUUGGCGGUAAAAAAUAGCCGUUAAACUCAUUUUAUAUAGAUUAACCGAGGGUGACCCUCGUAUCUGUUUCCCUUGAGUAACAGUAUUUUUAGCUCAGGCCCAACUCUAAAUACGGGCUUCCCUCUUUAUUUUACUUAUCUAUCA